RNAcentral lists this ribosomal RNA (352 nucleotides) under uncultured fungus. RNAcentral's name for it is "eukaryotic LSU rRNA". The stretch from base 1 to 125 matches the Rfam family "5.8S ribosomal RNA", at positions 30 to 154 of the family's 154-position model. Lineage: Eukaryota; Fungi. The record is from RNAcentral.
GCAUCGAUGAAGAACGCAGCGAAAUGCGAUAAGUAAUGUGAAUUGCAGAAUUCAGUGAAUCAUCGAAUCUUUGAACGCACAUUGCGCCCAUUAGUAUCCUAGUGGGCAUGCCUGUUCGAGCGUCAUUUCAACCCUUAAGCCUAGCUUAGUGUUGGGAGCCUACUGCUUUUGCUAGCUGUAGCUCCUGAAAUACAACGGCGGAUCUGCGAUAUCCUCUGAGCGUAGUAAAUUUUUAUCUCGCUUUUGACUGGAGUUGCAGCGUCUUUGGCCGCUAAAUCCCCCAAUUUUUAAUGGUUGACCUCGGAUCAGGUAGGAAUACCCGCUGAACUUAAGCAUAUCAAUAAGCGGAGGA